GAUGAACGCUGGCGGCGUGCCUAAUACAUGCAAGUCGAGCGAACAGAUAAGGAGCUUGCUCCUUUGACGUUAGCGGCGGACGGGUGAGUAACACGUGGAUAACCUACCUAUAAGACUGGGAUAACUUCGGGAAACCGGAGCUAAUACCGGAUAACAUAUUGAACCGCAUGGUUCAAUAGUGAAAGGCGGCUUUGCUGUCACUUAUAGAUGGAUCCGCGCCGUAUUAGCUAGUUGGUAAGGUAACGGCUUACCAAGGCAACGAUACGUAGCCGACCUGAGAGGGUGAUCGGCCACACUGGAACUGAGACACGGUCCAGACUCCUACGGGAGGCAGCAGUAGGGAAUCUUCCGCAAUGGGCGAAAGCCUGACGGAGCAACGCCGCGUGAGUGAUGAAGGUCUUCGGAUCGUAAAACUCUGUUAUCAGGGAAGAACAAAUGUGUAAGUAACUGUGCACAUCUUGACGGUACCUGAUCAGAAAGCCACGGCUAACUACGUGCCAGCAGCCGCGGUAAU
RNAcentral lists this ribosomal RNA (514 nucleotides) under uncultured bacterium. RNAcentral describes it as "bacterial SSU rRNA". It matches the Rfam family "Bacterial small subunit ribosomal RNA", at positions 28 to 524 of the family's 1533-position model. The record is from RNAcentral.